GACGAACGCUGGCGGCGUGCUUAACACAUGCAAGUCGAACGGAAAGGCCCUGCUUUUUUGGGGUGCUCGAGUGGCGAACGGGUGAGUAACACGUAAGUAACCUGCCCUUGACUUUGGGAUAACUUCAGGAAACUGGGGCUAAUACCGGAUAGGAGCUCCUGCUGCAUGGUGGGGGUUGGAAAGUUUCGGCGGUUGGGGAUGGACUCGCGGCUUAUCAGCUUGUUGGUGGGGUAGUGGCUUAUCAAGGCUUUGACGGGUAGCCGGCCUGAGAGGGUGACCGGCCACAUUGGGACUGAGAUACGGCCCAGACGCCUACGGUAGGCAGCGGUGGGGAAUAUUGCACAAUGGGCGGAAGCGUGAUGCAGCAGCGCCGCGGGCGGGAUGAGGGCCUGCGGGUUGUAAACCGCUUUCGCCUGUGACGAAGCGUGAGUGACGGUAAUGGGUAAAGAAGCACCGGCUAACUACGUG
This 468-nucleotide ribosomal RNA is filed under the name uncultured bacterium. RNAcentral describes it as "partial 16S ribosomal RNA". It matches the Rfam family "Bacterial small subunit ribosomal RNA", at positions 28 to 507 of the family's 1533-position model. The record is from RNAcentral.